RNAcentral lists this ribosomal RNA (253 nucleotides) under uncultured bacterium. RNAcentral describes it as "partial 16S ribosomal RNA". It matches the Rfam family "Bacterial small subunit ribosomal RNA", at positions 524 to 776 of the family's 1533-position model. The record is from RNAcentral.
UACGUAGGGUGCAAGCGUUGUCCGGAAUUAUUGGGCGUAAAGAGCUCGUAGGCGGUUCGUCGCGUCGGCUGUGAAAUCCCGAGGCUCAACCUCGGGUCUGCAGUCGAUACGGGCGGACUGGAGUUCGGCAGGGGAGACUGGAAUUCCUGGUGUAGCGGUGAAAUGCGCAGAUAUCAGGAGGAACACCGGUGGCGAAGGCGGGUCUCUGGACCGAUACUGACGCUGAGGCGCGAAAGCGUGGGGAGCAAACAGG